This 253-nucleotide unclassified non-coding RNA is filed under the name uncultured Cytophagales bacterium. RNAcentral describes it as "contains 16S-23S intergenic spacer region". It matches the Rfam family "Bacterial small subunit ribosomal RNA", at positions 524 to 776 of the family's 1533-position model. The record is from RNAcentral. Lineage: Bacteria; Pseudomonadati; Bacteroidota; Sphingobacteriia; Sphingobacteriales.
UACGUAGGUGGCAAGCGUUGUCCGGAUUUAUUGGGUUUAAAGGGUGCGUAGGCGGCCUGUUAAGUCAGUUCUGAAAUAUCCCGGCUCAACCGGGAGGGUGGGAUUGAUACUGAUGGGCUUGAGUGGAAUCGAGGUAGGCGGAAUUGACGGUGUAGCGGUGAAAUGCUUAGAUAUCGUCAAGAACACCGAUAGUGUAGACAGCUUACUAGACUUCAACUGACGCUGAGGCACGAAAGUGUGGGGAUCAAACAGG